Molecule: ribosomal RNA, 730 nt
Filed under: Mycolicibacterium novocastrense
Lineage: Bacteria; Bacillati; Actinomycetota; Actinomycetes; Mycobacteriales; Mycobacteriaceae
Description: bacterial SSU rRNA
Rfam family: Bacterial small subunit ribosomal RNA
Source: RNAcentral
AGUGGCGAACGGGUGAGUAACACGUGGGUGAUCUGCCCUGCACUUUGGGAUAAGCCUGGGAAACUGGGUCUAAUACCGAAUAUUUCCUUUUGGUCGCAUGGCUGGGAGGGGAAAGCUUUUGCGGUGUGGGAUGGGCCCGCGGCCUAUCAGCUUGUUGGUGAGGUUAUGGCUUACCAAGGCGACGACGGGUAGCCGGCCUGAGAGGGUGACCGGCCACACUGGGACUGAGAUACGGCCCAGACUCCUACGGGAGGCAGCAGUGGGGAAUAUUGCACAAUGGGCGCAAGCCUGAUGCAGCGACGCCGCGUGGGGGAUGACGGCCUUCGGGUUGUAAACCUCUUUCAAUAGGGACGAAGCGCAAGUGACGGUACCUAUAGAAGAAGGACCGGCCAACUACGUGCCAGCAGCCGCGGUAAUACGUAGGGUCCGAGCGUUGUCCGGAAUUACUGGGCGUAAAGAGCUCGUAGGUGGUGUGUCGCGUCGUCCGUGAAAACUCACAGCUUAACUGUGGGCGUGCGGGCGAUACGGGCAGACUUGAGUACUGCAGGGGAGACUGGAAUUCCUGGUGUAGCGGUGGAAUGCGCAGAUAUCAGGAGGAACACCGGUGGCGAAGGCGGGUCUCUGGGCAGUAACUGACGCUGAGGAGCGAAAGCGUGGGGAGCGAACAGGAUUAGAUACCCUGGUAGUCCACGCCGUAAACGGUGGGUACUAGGUGUGGGUUUCCUUCCUU